This is a long non-coding RNA of Camarhynchus parvulus, 297 nucleotides long. RefSeq lists it as uncharacterized. Lineage: Eukaryota; Metazoa; Chordata; Aves; Passeriformes; Thraupidae. The transcript has 3 exons. The record is from RefSeq and is a predicted model, not a curated record.
GGGCCCUGCUAUGCGGAGAUAGCUCUGCUACCAAGGAUUUUCUCGGGAUCACCGGGACGAGCUCGUGGAGGGGCUGGAAUCGCUCAAGGAGGGGCUGGAAAAUCCCGAUUUUUCCAUCCUUUUCCACACCUGCAGCAGGAUUGGAGUGGUUCUGGGCAGGAGGAUCCCCCCGGAGCAGCUCCAGGGGCUGCUCCUGGCCCUGCUGGAAUCCUGGGACGAUCCCGAGCGGGAUUGCGCCCGCGCCGCCGCCGCCAUCGGCAACGCCCUCAUCCGCGAGAGGGGAGCCAUCCUGCAGGA